RNAcentral lists this ribosomal RNA (468 nucleotides) under uncultured bacterium. Its description in RNAcentral is "partial 16S ribosomal RNA". It matches the Rfam family "Bacterial small subunit ribosomal RNA", at positions 28 to 507 of the family's 1533-position model. The record is from RNAcentral.
GACGAACGCUGGCGGCGUGCUUAACACAUGCAAGUCGAACGGAAAGGCCCUGCUUUUGUGGGGUGCUCGAGUGGCGAACGGGUGAUUAACACGUGAGUAACCUGCCCUUGACUUUGGGAUAACUUCAUGAAACUGGGGCUAAUACCGGAUAGGAGCUCCUGCUGCAUGGUGGGGGUUGGAAAGUUUCGGCGGUUGGGGAUGGACUCGCGGCUUAUCAGCUUGUUGGUGGGGUAGUGGCUUACCAAGGCUUUGACGGGUAGCCGGCCUGAGAGGGUGACCGGCCACAUUGGGACUGAGAUACGGCCCAGACUACUACGGGAGGCAGCAGUGGGGAAUAGUGCACAAUGGGCGGAAGCAUGAUGCAGCAACGCCGCGUGCGGGAUGACGGCCUUCGGGUUGUAAACCGCUUUCGCCUGUGACGAAGCGUGAGUGACGGUAAUGGGUAAAGAAGCACCGGCUAACUACGUG